Molecule: ribosomal RNA, 549 nt
Filed under: Ferdinandea aurea
Lineage: Eukaryota; Metazoa; Arthropoda; Insecta; Diptera; Syrphidae
Description: partial 28S large subunit ribosomal RNA
Source: RNAcentral
GAGGUUAAGCCCGAUGAACCUGAAUAUCCGUUAUGGAAAAUUCAUCACUAAUACUGUAAUAUUAAUAAUAUCAUAGGAAUAGUGUGCAAUUUUUCCAUAUAAGGACAUUGUAAUCUGUUAAUGUAAUAAAUAUUUAUUAAAAGAUCUUAUACUUAAGUUUAUUCAAAUUAGUUAUUUUCGGAUUUCUAACAUAGAAUAAAUGUAUUUGAUUUAAUAAAUCAUUGACAGAUUUAUUUGUAUAUAGUGCUUAAAUUUUGAAAAGAAUUUUACAAUARUAUGAUAAUUUUAUUUAUUAUAUUUAUUGUAUGCGCUUAUAUGAUUCACAAUGCGAUAGAUUCAGGAUACCUUCGGGACCCGUCUUGAAACACGGACCAAGGAGUCUAACAUAUGUGCAAGUCAUUGGGUAUUUUUAAUAAAACCCAAUGGCAUAAUUAACUUAACUGUUUUUUAAUGGGAUUAGUUUAUAUUUUAUUAUGAAAUAUGAAUUCAAUCCCGGGGCGUUCUAUACAGUUAUGCAUAAUGAUAUUUAUAUUAUUUAUGCCUCUAACU